ACCCAGCUGGCUCAGUCGGUAAAGCAUGUGACUCUUGAUCUCAGGGUUGUGAGUUCAGGUCCCACAUUGGGUG
Molecule: transfer RNA, 73 nt
Filed under: Ailuropoda melanoleuca (giant panda)
Lineage: Eukaryota; Metazoa; Chordata; Mammalia; Carnivora; Ursidae
Rfam family: tRNA
About the family: Transfer RNA (tRNA) molecules are approximately 80 nucleotides in length.
Source: Rfam by way of RNAcentral